GGGCCGGUGGUGUAACGGUUAACACACUGAUCUUUUGGAACCUUUGGAGCUGAGAUCCCAAGUUCAAUCCCGGGCUGGUUCA
Non-coding RNA from Lyophyllum atratum, 82 nucleotides. NCBI's taxonomy places the organism in Eukaryota, Fungi, Basidiomycota, Agaricomycetes, Agaricales, Lyophyllaceae. The record is from the annotation of a GenBank genome assembly.